UGAGGGAAUAUUGGGUCAAUGGGCGAGAGCCUGAACCAGCCAAGUCGCGUGAAGGAAGAAGGAUCUAUGGUUCGUAAACUUCUUUUUAUGGGAAUAAAGUCAUGGACGCGUCCGUGUUUGUAUGUACCAUAAGAAUAAGCAUCGGCUAACUCCGUGCCAGCAGCCGCGGUAAUACGGAGGAUGCGAGCGUUAUCCGGAUUUAUUGGGUUUAAAGGGUGCGUAGGCGGGCGAUCAAGUCAGCGGUAAAAUUGUGUGGCUUAACCAUACCGAGCCGUUGAAACUGGUUGUCUUGAGUGCGAGUGAGGUAGGCGGAAUGUGUUGUGUAGCGGUGAAAUGCUUAGAUAUGACACAGAACACCGAUUGCGAAGGCAGCUUACCAAUACGUAACUGACGCUGAGGCACGAAAGCGUGGGUAUCGAACAGGAUUAGAUACCCUGGUAGU
RNAcentral lists this ribosomal RNA (442 nucleotides) under uncultured Parabacteroides sp. RNAcentral describes it as "bacterial SSU rRNA". It matches the Rfam family "Bacterial small subunit ribosomal RNA", at positions 354 to 794 of the family's 1533-position model. Lineage: Bacteria; Pseudomonadati; Bacteroidota; Bacteroidia; Bacteroidales; Tannerellaceae. The record is from RNAcentral.